CUUGCAAGCAGGUUGAAUAGAGCUGACGAUGAAAAUCUUGCUUUAUCAGUUGUUUGUGAGCGUAAACGGAAAACUCUCAACGAAAGGCUUUAAUAGGAGCCAACUAUACCAAAUGAACUCUACUAAAUAUUGGAAAAGAAUUUGUAAGACUGAAAUCAGAGAUCUCUGCAUGAUAUAAGACUGAAAAAUCUUCCUAAGAUUUAAUUGGAUGCAUUUUGAAGCUAUCCUCAUGGAAACUGAAAACUCUACCUGUGGCCUAAUGAUAUUAAAAUUGCACAUUCUCUGUAUGCUUUGAGGCUAAAAAAUACAAAAAUGUCAUUCGAAUUUGGUGGGCUAAACAUGUAAUGUUUGAUCACAAGUAUGUAUGAAGAAUCGUUUACAUCGUUUCAUUUUUCCCUUCUUAAAAUAUGAAAUUUUGUAGGCAUGCCUCUGAUUAUUAAUGUGUGAUUAUUUUGAUGAAUUAUAUAUCAGACAGAAUAAAAAAAAUAUAUAGAAGUAUUUUUUUUUUAAUUUCAAAAUGUUUAUGCAUAUUAAGACAUUGUUAUUACAAGAAUAAUUACUUAUUUAGAAAUGAAGAUACUUUAUGAAAUUGUUCAUCUCCAAUUGCUGAUCCAAGAUGUAAAAAAAUAUAAGACAGUAUUAACUGUAGAGCAGCUUUAUAUUUUUGAUCUAAUGGCAUUGCGGAAAAAUGAUCGAAAAUUAAAUAGUUUUAGAAAGUGCAUAGAUAAAUUGCAGUUCCAGUGUGAUUGGUAUUAUAGUUCACUAGUCUAUUUUCUUUUUUUAGCCUUACAAAGCUUAAGAUGAAAAUAAUGUAUUGAUGAUUAGUUUCCUUCAUAAAACAUGUUGAGCUUAAAAAAUUAUCUACAUUGCCUUUUUUAUAUAUAGUAUCAUUGCACUACUCAUUCUUUGGUUGAGUAAAAAUUAGUUUUCAUUGAAAAAAUUUUCCUGGCAUGGAGAAUUUGUAUUAUUUUUAAAAGUCUACAUGAUAAAUUUGAUGGCACUUUCGAUAAUUACAUAGAAAAUUCAUUUGACAUGAAUGAUGAAUAAUAAAUAUGAAUAAUUUAAUAUUUUUUACAUAUAGGCUUAAUAAAUUUGUUACCAGCUUUUAAAAUUAGAAAAGCAAAAUAUCAUUGUUAACAUGUAAAACAUUUCUGAAACAUGAAUCGGAAAGAAACUUUUCAUGUAUAUAUAGCUUAUGUUUUUUAAUUUAACCCUUUGCACUCCUAUAUCAAGUGUAACUUUCCAUAUUCUGAAAAAUACACCAUUUUCAUUUCUUGUUAGGUAAUGAAUAAUAUAGAAGAUUUUUAAUAGCAAAAACAAACACAUUACUUUUUUGGAAUCAUAACAAACCUAUAUUUUUCAAUGUCCAAAGCACUAAAAGUAAUUCUUACAUUCAUGUGCAUAAUUAUGCACCUCAUUAAUUUUUCGUGUGCAAAGAAUUGAUUCUGACAACAUUCAGUGUAUCAAAAUUUUAAUUUCACAUUGAGAAGCUAGCCGCAUACUAGUAAAGAUUGAUAUUAAUGUUUUAUCUGUAUUUUUAUUUUUAAGUGUUAAUCAGAUGCUAUUUGUGAUGCAUUCUUAAUCAUUGUGAUCAGAUUUAAAUUGAGGGGUCCAUUAUUUGAUGAAUGUUAGUUAACUUGCAUUGUAGUUAUUUAAAUAUUUAAUUUGUUUUCAUUAUCAGAGUAAGUGCAUGUCAUUUUUUUAAGGCAUCAGAAUUUAGACCAAAUAAAGAAAGAUGUUGCACAUUGGGAUAAUUUAUUUAUUUUUUAACUUUGCUAUGCAUUAAAAUUUUGCCUUCCAAAUUAAAUCAAUUUAAUCAUUUUAAAAAUUAUUGUAUUAUUCAGGAGCAUAAGAUAGUUUUUUUUUUUAUUUGUAUCUUUGGAAGUGUAACCCAGCACAAUACUAUGUUCUUUGCUGCUAAGGACGGAUAUUAAACUAAACACUUUAAAAAGAUAAAUCAGGAGAAAAUAUAUAUUUAACAACUUCAUUAAUAACUAAAUAUCACAAUUAUUAUUAUCUGCAGUUUUGUCACUUUUGGCAAUCUGAAGAAUUUAUUACCUUCUUUUCUAAACAAUAUUAUUUAGGAAAUAUAUAUAUAUAUAUAAUGUGUCUGCAUGUAAUAAAGUGGAUCAAUUUAUGUGUUUUAUAACAGAAUUCUACUUUUCCUGUGAACACUGUUUUUUCUAUGGAUAUCUUGAGGAAUAACAUGUUAUUUGUUCCAAAGUACUGCAGUGAGCUUUCCAAUAAAAUGUAGUAUUGAAAUA
Molecule: long non-coding RNA, 2264 nt
Organism: Argiope bruennichi
Lineage: Eukaryota; Metazoa; Arthropoda; Arachnida; Araneae; Araneidae
Exons: 5
Source: RefSeq, a predicted model, not a curated record